This 786-nucleotide ribosomal RNA is filed under the name uncultured Nitrososphaera sp. Its description in RNAcentral is "bacterial SSU rRNA". It matches the Rfam family "Archaeal small subunit ribosomal RNA", at positions 444 to 1227 of the family's 1478-position model. Lineage: Archaea; Thermoproteati; Nitrososphaerota; Nitrososphaeria; Nitrososphaerales; Nitrososphaeraceae. The record is from RNAcentral.
GGGCAAGUCUGGUGUCAGCCGCCGCGGUAAUACCAGCACCCCGAGUUGUCGGGACGAUUAUUGGGCCUAAAGCAUCCGUAGCCUGUUCUGCAAGUCCUCCGUUAAAUCCACCUGCUCAACGGAUGGGCUGCGGAGGAUACCGCAGAGCUAGGAGGCGGGAGAGGCAAACGGUACUCAGUGGGUAGGGGUAAAAUCCAUUGAUCUACUGAAGACCACCAGUGGCGAAGGCGGUUUGCCAGAACGCGCUCGACGGUGAGGGAUGAAAGCUGGGGGAGCAAACCGGAUUAGAUACCCGGGUAGUCCCAGCUGUAAACGAUGCAGACUCGGUGAUGGGUUGGCUUCGAGCCAACCCAGUGCCGCAGGGAAAGCCGUUAAGUCUGCCGCCUGGGGAGUACGGUCGCAAGACUGAAACUUAAAGGAAUUGGGGGGGGAGCACCACAAGGGGUGAAGCCUGCGGUUCAAUUGGAGUCAACGCCGGGAAUCUUACCGGGGGCGACAGCAGAGUGAAGGUCAAGCUGAAGACUUUACCAGACAAGCUGAGAGGAGGUGCAUGGCCGUCGCCAGCUCGUGCCGUGAGGUGUCCUGUUAAGUCAGGUAACGAGCAAGAUCCCUGCCUCUAGUUGCUACCACUGCUCUCAGGAGCAGAGGGGCUAAUUAGAGGGACCGCCGCCGCUGAGGCGGAGGAAGGAGGGGGCUACGGCAGGUCAGUAUGCCCCGAAACCCUCGGGCCACACGCGGGCUGCAAUGGUAAGGACAGCGGGCUCCGAUCCCGAAAGGGGGAGGCAA